RNAcentral lists this ribosomal RNA (400 nucleotides) under uncultured bacterium. Its description in RNAcentral is "bacterial SSU rRNA". It matches the Rfam family "Bacterial small subunit ribosomal RNA", at positions 986 to 1393 of the family's 1533-position model. The record is from RNAcentral.
CUUUGUGACGAUGAAUAGAGAUAUAGAGGAGGUUAACCGCAUGACAGGUGGUGCAUGGUUGUCGUCAGCUCGUGUCGUGAGAUGUUGGGUUAAGUCCCGCAACGAGCGCAACCCCUAUCAUUAGUUGCUAAUAUUAAGUUAAGGACUCUAAUGUGACUGCCUAUGUAAGUAGGAGGAAGGUGGGGAUGACGUCAAAUCAUCAUGCCCCUUAUGCUUUGGGCUACACACGUGCUACAAUGGUUAUUACAAAGGGAAGCGAGCUUGUGAGAGUAAGCGGAUCCCAUAAAGAUAAUCUAAGUUCGGAUUGAAGUCUGCAACUCGACUUCAUGAAGUCGGAAUCACUAGUAAUCGUAGGUCAGAAUACUACGGUGAAUACGUUCCCGGGUCUUGUACACACCGA